RNAcentral lists this non-coding RNA (342 nucleotides) under Bifidobacterium biavatii DSM 23969. Its description in RNAcentral is "Bacterial small subunit ribosomal RNA". It matches the Rfam family "Bacterial small subunit ribosomal RNA", at positions 1 to 341 of the family's 1533-position model. Lineage: Bacteria; Bacillati; Actinomycetota; Actinomycetes; Bifidobacteriales; Bifidobacteriaceae. The record is from Rfam by way of RNAcentral.
UUUGUGGAGGGUUCGAUUCUGGCUCAGGAUGAACGCUGGCGGCGUGCUUAACACAUGCAAGUCGAACGGGAUCUGGAGUGCUUGCACUCUGGUGAGAGUGGCGAACGGGUGAGUAAUGCGUGACUGACCUGCCCUGUACUUUGGAAUAGCUCCUGGAAACGGGUGGUAAUGCCGAAUGUUCCACAUGAGUGCAUGCGAUUGUGGGAAAGGGUUUACCGGUGAUGGGAUGGGGUCGCGUCCUAUCAGCUUGUUGGUGAGGUAAUGGCUUACCAAGGCUUCGACGGGUAGCGGCCUGAGAGGGUGACCGGCCACAUUGGGACUGAGAUACGGCCCAGACUCCUA